Molecule: ribosomal RNA, 447 nt
Filed under: uncultured bacterium
Lineage: Bacteria
Description: bacterial SSU rRNA
Rfam family: Bacterial small subunit ribosomal RNA
Source: RNAcentral
CCCAGACUCCUACGGGAGGCAGCAGUGGGGAAUAUUGCACAAUGGGGGAAACCCUGAUGCAGCGACGCCGCGUGAGUGAAGAAGUAUUUCGGUAUGUAAAGCUCUAUCAGCAGGGAAGAAAAUGACGGUACCUGACUAAGAAGCCCCGGCUAACUACGUGCCAGCAGCCACGGUAAUACGUAGGGGGCAAGCGUUAUCCGGAUUUACUGGGUGUAAAGGGAGCGUAGGUGGCAUGGUAAGCCAGAAGUGAAAACCCGGGGCUCAACCCCGCGGAUUGCUUUUGGAACUAUCAGGCUGGAGUGCUGGAGGGGUAAGCGGAAUUCCUAGUGUAGCGGUGAAAUGCGUAGAUAUUAGGAGGAACACCGGUGGCGAAGGCGGCUUACUGGACAGAAACUGACACUGAGGCUCGAAAGCGUGGGGAGCAAACAGGACUAGAUACCCGAGUAU